RNAcentral lists this ribosomal RNA (503 nucleotides) under uncultured bacterium. Its description in RNAcentral is "partial 16S ribosomal RNA". It matches the Rfam family "Bacterial small subunit ribosomal RNA", at positions 28 to 523 of the family's 1533-position model. The record is from RNAcentral.
GAUGAACGCUAGCGAUAGGCCUAACACAUGCAAGUCGAGGGGCAGCCUAGAGUAGCAAUACUUUGAUGGCGACCGGCGCACGGGUGAGUAACACGUAUGCAACCUACCUACAUCAGGGGAAUAACCCGGAGAAAUUCGGACUAAUACCGCAUAAUACAGGGAUGCCGCAUGGCAAUAUUUGUUAAAGAUUUAUCGGAAGUAGAUGGGCAUGCGUUCCAUUAGCCAGUUGGUGAGGUAACGGCUCACCAAGGCAACCAUGGAGAGGGGAACUGAGAGGUUUGUCCCCCACACUGGAACUGAGACACGGACCAGACUCCUACGGGAGGCAGCAGUGAGGAAUAUUGGUCAAUGGACGAGAGUCUGAACCAGCCAAAUCGCGUGAAGGAAGACUGCCCUACGGGUUGUAAACUUCUUUUGUACAGGAAUAAAAGACAUUACGUGUAAUGUAUUGCAUGUACUGUACGAAUAAGCAUCGGCUAACUCCGUGCCAGCCGCCGCGGUAA